AAAAGCAUGUUCAUAAAUGCUUUGAUGGGAGAAAUCAACACUGGUCCUUUAACCGGUCGUCUGUGUACCCUUUGAUUGACACGUUUGUCUUAUUUGUAUGGCCGCAAACGGCCUUGCGUCCCAUUUUUCACUACAUUUAUUCGGGAUAAAUACUUCGAGGGCAUCGUUUAAUCCAAUUUUAGGCAGGGCUGCGGGGCUAGGUCUAGGAAAGCGGCAGCCAGGCGGCCGUGGGCUCCCGCGCACGGGACGGCAGCUCACGCCGCCAUCGGGGCCAACAUCGAAGAACGCUAUCUGGAUUGGGUACGACAGCUGACGGUGAUAGAUAGCUGGGUCCAGGAUAGGCCUCCUGAGGAGUUAUGUGCUGGCCCGGGACAAGGAGCCAGGUGCCUCCUCCUCGGACCCUCCACCUGUCGCUAAAGUGCUUGAGCGCUGAGGUCGACUCUCCCUGUACUGCACGUACAGGGACGCCCCACCAGCAGUGGUCCCCUCUUCCUGUCUCUCCUCCUCUCAGCAACCACUUCAACAUUGACUUCCCCUCCACAAGGACCGGGACCUUGCCGUGGUGUGGAGGUUUCAUACAAACACCGGUCCACCCACCCUGCAACAACUCUUCUACAGGACAGUGACACUACGUUUCUUUAAAAAAAAAAAAAAAAAAAAACAUUCUAUGUCUGCUGUGAUGUGAUGUAUGUGGUUUAAAAAAAAAAAAAACAUCCACACCACUGUGUUCUGCAUUCUGCAUCUCUACACUGAACACUUAUGCCGUGUGUCUGCUCUGAUGUUUUUAUUUUUUAUUAUUGUUUUGUAGUUUAAAAUAAACAAUCUAUAUGUAUAAUAUAUAGAAUAUAUAACACACUGUCAUGUCUAUGUGCUGUUAUGUUCUAUGCACUGACAAGUUGUAUAGACCUACUAUGUAACAUUUAGCCUAGGCCUACGUUUCAACAAGAACGCCCAGACCAAUACUGUUGACAGGAGCAUCAAUUAUCUAUUUCUACAGUAAGGAAUUUCCGUUGCCUACCAUAGGAGUUCAUCAAGUCUGAAGUAGCACGUCAAUGCAAAACAAUCCAUAGUUAGGCCUACGAGUUAUGAUGACAAUAAUGCUAGCCGCCAGCCUUGUCAAAGUUAACUUUGCUAACGUUUUGCUGAGCCUACCCUAUUGACUACAUUUGUUGCACACUUAAAAAAAUAUCUUCAAAAGUAUUUAGAAGGUGGUUUCAUUUAUUUCCAUUCCAAUAACUUCACACAUUACAUUUUCGUUUGCACUUGUAGGCUAUGCUGCAUUCAUUUCUUUGUUCCUACUAUUUAGUUUAUUUUCUGGAACUUCUAUUUCUCAGAGCCGUGUACGGCUCUGCUAUUUCUUAUCCUGGACUGCCACCUGCUGGAUAGAAAAAGCAACAGGUCAUUAUGUGAACAAAAAUCUACACGUUUGAAUGGCCAAAAAAAAGAUAAAUCAUAGGUGGUAUUCCCCACAUUACCAUGGUGUUAGGGUAGCCUACUCUGCACAUGUCAUUGACGGUGACUGCUAACUUCAGUCAUUUGCAUUUAUCAUGCUGAAAAUCUGACACCAGGCACUAUACUGAUGCCUGACCCAAAGGGACAAUUAUAAUAAAAGAGAGGAGUUAUGUGCUGGCCCGGGACAAGGAGCCAGGUGCCUCCUCCUCGGACCCUCCACCUGUCGCUAAAGUGCUUGAGCGCUGAGGUCGACUCUCCCUGUACUGCACGUACAGGGACGCCCCACCAGCAGUGGUCCCCUCUUCCUGUCUCUCCUCCUCUCAGCAACCACUUCAACAUUGACUUCCCCUCCACAAGGACCGGGACCUUGCCGUGGUGUGGAGGUUUCAUACAAACACCGGUCCACCCACCCUGCAACAACUCUUCUACAGGACAGUGACACUACGUUUCUUUAAAAAAAAAAAAAAAAAAAAACAUUCUAUGUCUGCUGUGAUGUGAUGUAUGUGGUUUAAAAAAAAAAAAAACCAUCCACACCACUGUGUUCUGCAUUCUGCAUCUCUACACUGAACACUUAUGCCGUGUGUCUGCUCUGAUGUUUUUAUUUUUUAUUAUUGUUUUGUAGUUUAAAAUAAACAAUCUAUAUGUAUAAUAUAUAGAAUAUAUAACACACUGUCAUGUCUAUGUGCUGUUAUGUUCUAUGCACUGACAAGUUGUAUAGACCUACUAUGUAACAUUUAGCCUAGGCCUACGUUUCAACAAGAACGCCCAGACCAAUACUGUUGACAGGAGCAUCAAUUAUCUAUUUCUACAGUAAGGAAUUUCCGUUGCCUACCAUAGGAGUUCAUCAAGUCUGAAGUAGCACGUCAAUGCAAAACAAUCCAUAGUUAGGCCUACGAGUUAUGAUGACAAUAAUGCUAGCCGCCAGCCUUGUCAAAGUUAACUUUGCUAACGUUUUGCUGAGCCUACCCUAUUGACUACAUUUGUUGCACACUUAAAAAAAUAUCUUCAAAAGUAUUUAGAAGGUGGUUUCAUUUAUUUCCAUUCCAAUAACUUCACACAUUACAUUUUCGUUUGCACUUGUAGGCUAUGCUGCAUUCAUUUCUUUGUUCCUACUAUUUAGUUUAUUUUCUGGAACUUCUAUUUCUCAGAGCCGUGUACGGCUCUGCUAUUUCUUAUCCUGGACUGCCACCUGCUGGAUAGAAAAAGCAACAGGUCAUUAUGUGAACAAAAAUCUACACGUUUGAAUGGCCAAAAAAAAGAUAAAUCAUAGGUGGUAUUCCCCACAUUACCAUGGUGUUAGGGUAGCCUACUCUGCACAUGUCAUUGACGGUGACUGCUAACUUCAGUCAUUUGCAUUUAUCAUGCUGAAAAUCUGACACCAGGCACUAUACUGAUGCCUGACCCAAAGGGACAAUUAUAAUAAAAGAGAGGAGUUAUGUGCUGGCCCGGGACAAGGAGCCAGGUGCCUCCUCCUCGGACCCUCCACCUGUCGCUAAAGUGCUUGAGCGCUGAGGUCGACUCUCCCUGUACUGCACGUACAGGGACGCCCCACCAGCAGUGGUCCCCUCUUCCUGUCUCUCCUCUCAGCAACCACUUCA
This is a long non-coding RNA of Alosa sapidissima (American shad), 3050 nucleotides long. RefSeq lists it as uncharacterized. The record is from RefSeq and is a predicted model, not a curated record. The transcript is spliced from 7 exons. Lineage: Eukaryota; Metazoa; Chordata; Actinopteri; Clupeiformes; Clupeidae.